UGGUCGAUUAAGACAGCAGGAC
Molecule: non-coding RNA, 22 nt
Filed under: Arabidopsis thaliana (thale cress)
Lineage: Eukaryota; Viridiplantae; Streptophyta; Magnoliopsida; Brassicales; Brassicaceae
Source: RNAcentral